UCUCUACCUGGAAAUCAAUAUCAGCCGAUAUCCAGGUUCACUUGGCACUGCAGUCACAACAGAAUGCGCAACAGUUGCGUCUGAACAAGAUAGAGGCAGGUAUACAUCGCGGUCGAUCCCAUUAUUGUUCGCCCAAUAACGGUUCGCCCAGUAAAGUUCUUAUUCUCCCUUGCCACGAACGAGUGUCGAACAUGUGAACUAGAGAAAAAGCCGCGGUGAAUAGAACGCGUGUCGCGUCGCGUCGCGUCGCGUCGCGUCAUGUCAAACAAACGAAACGAUUCGACGCGAUGAACGCGAAAACCUUGGCCUCCGGGCGCAACGUGCUGCGAUCAUGCAAGAUGCAAAAACGUACGAGAAACGAACUGUGAACGCGUUUCAAUUGCAAACUGCCAUCGACAUGUCAGAGAAAAGGCUUUCCAUGGGCAUCAACGUUAGCAUUCUCGUGAUACUAACUAUUUUUGGAGUGUUGCUUUCCUUGCCAUUGCGAUUGCUUUUGAAUACCAAUUACCAUGAAAGUCGAAAUAAAACACUCGGUGAGAAUAAUACGAUACUCGCAACAGAGAGUAUAACAGUCAAGACAGUAGUGAUCCCGGUGGAUCAUCGAAAGUUGAAACGGUGCCCAAAAUUCGAGUACGAAGAUAGAUUAAAGUCAGUUUUUCAAAGUGAUUACGAUGGAAAUUGUACUUACAUGCGAGUCUGUAUAACUAACGAUUCCAAGCAGAAGAAUAACGGAGAGGAUGAAAACGAAUCUGUUAACCGAGAGGACAAUGAAACGUUUAACGCCUUGAAGGAGAUCGUCAGUGAGAAUUUGACGAAAAAAGUUGAAGAAAGUGGAAAGGAUCGUCGAACGAAAUCAGUCCUGGUCGCCGGACACAUUCUUGUAACGAUGCUUCUCAUUUCAGCAAUCGCUGCUCUCGUUGAAGUAUUGCGAAUACGUUUCGCCAAAGACAAGGCAGGUAGUAUCAGCUCAAGAAAAACAUCUACAAUCGACUUUUCCGUUCAGAGGAGGUUCUUACCGAGGUACCCAAUGAAGAGUGCGAGAUCGUUCGAAAUGCAUCGAUCUGCUUUACGCCUAUUAGGUGCGAGACCACCACCUCUUAUUCGUCGCUCGUCAUUUCCAACGCAGCCGUCUAAGCAAAGUUCUGGCUCGAUCAGUGGUACACCGAAUAAUCGAAUAUCAAGACGUCAAUCGGCUGAAUCCGACGAAGAAAUCCGAGCCCUCAUUAGCGCGCUUCAUCACCGCACACGCCUGAUCCGACGGCAUUGAAGUAAGGUUGAUCAUCAUUUUGUAAAAAUUCAUUUAAUGUUAACACUAACAGGGUACAUGUCUUAGACUGAAUGGUUUUACAUAUCGCACAGCAAUUAUGAUUACGAAUUUCUCCAAAAAUUCUUAGUACUUUAGUAGUAAACCUACCAAUCAAAGAGGACUUUAAUGAAAUUGUUGCUUUUCCUGUUUGUACAUUCCAAAUCUGAGAAAUUUUGCAUUACUACUGUUCAACAUCGACUAUAAUUUUAAUUGUUCCUCUUCUCUACGAGGUAGUACAUCUAUAGAAACCGUCUGUAAAUAUCGUAAAAUUUAGAAACAACAGGCCAAUCUAAUCAUGUGAAACUAAUCCAGAGAUAUUUCAAAAUGUUAGAAAUUCUCUUCGAUACCUAUUUUCAUAUUAAUAGCUACACCUUUCUAAACAGCGAGUACUUGAAUACUUGAAUACUUGUCUAAUUUUCAUCGUUUCUGACGUGAUAUGUAAAACGUUAAUCAAAAAUUGUGAAAUAUAUAAUUGAAAAAAGUGAAAUUGUGAAAUAUAUAAUGUACAUGUAU
Frieseomelitta varia is the source of this 1819-nucleotide RNA transcript. RefSeq lists it as uncharacterized. Lineage: Eukaryota; Metazoa; Arthropoda; Insecta; Hymenoptera; Apidae. The transcript has 6 exons. The record is from RefSeq and is a predicted model, not a curated record.